GGAUGUGAGGGCUAUUUAUCUAUGACACCUGUCACCCCAUUGAUCGCCAGGGUUGAUUCAACCGAUCUGGCUGACUAGGUGGGUAUAUCCAUCCUUCCUCACCACUCCAGGUGCCUCCCUCUUGAAACUGCGUGUUCAACUGAAGAGCAUGACCUUCCCUGAUAAAGGAUCAUUCUUGGGUCAAGGGUAAAAGAGUAGCUGUGCUGUCCUUCCAGACCCUCCCCACAGGCUCCCAAGGUCCAUUUGUAGGAGAAUGUAGGAUAGGCAAGCUUACAAGACUCCAGACACACCAAAUGAGGCGCUGCAUGUGGCAGCCUGCCUUUCUU
This 326-nucleotide small nuclear RNA is filed under the name Cervus elaphus hippelaphus. RNAcentral's name for it is "7SK RNA". It matches the Rfam family "7SK RNA". Rfam says of the family: 7SK was discovered as an abundant small nuclear RNA in the mid-70s but a possible function has only recently been suggested. The record is from Rfam by way of RNAcentral. Lineage: Eukaryota; Metazoa; Chordata; Mammalia; Artiodactyla; Cervidae.